Molecule: ribosomal RNA, 164 nt
Filed under: Aglaia glabrata
Lineage: Eukaryota; Viridiplantae; Streptophyta; Magnoliopsida; Sapindales; Meliaceae
Also listed under: 1 other name
Description: 5.8S ribosomal RNA
Rfam family: 5.8S ribosomal RNA
About the family: 5.8S ribosomal RNA (5.8S rRNA) is a component of the large subunit of the eukaryotic ribosome. It is transcribed by RNA polymerase I as part of the 45S precursor that also contains 18S and 28S rRNA. Functionally, it is thought that 5.8S rRNA may be involved in ribosome translocation.
Source: RNAcentral
AAUACGACUCUCGGCAACGGAUAUCUCGGCUCUCGCAUCGAUGAAGAACGUAGCGAAAUGCGAUACUUGGUGUGAAUUGCAGAAUCCCGUGAACCAUCGAGUCUUUGAACGCAAGUUGCGCCCAAAGCCGUUAGGCUGAGGGCACGUCUGCCUGGGUGUCACGC